GCUCGACAAGGGCAAAUCCAAUGAAAAUUGGAGACGCAAAGUUACCGAUCUAAGGGGAAACCUAUGAUAGCGGAACUGCCAAA
RNAcentral lists this non-coding RNA (83 nucleotides) under Colwellia sp. RNAcentral's name for it is "c-di-GMP sequence". It matches the Rfam family "c-di-GMP-I riboswitch aptamer". Rfam says of the family: GEMM was predicted in a large-scale screen for bacterial structured RNA regulatory elements. Genes associated with GEMM are involved in a diverse array of functions, including chemotaxis regulation, signal transduction, secretion and chitin. Lineage: Bacteria; Pseudomonadati; Pseudomonadota; Gammaproteobacteria; Alteromonadales; Colwelliaceae. The record is from RNAcentral.